UAUGACUCUAUGCAGAGAAACCUAAGGCAUUAACAUUGCAGAGAUCAGCCCAAAUCACUAAAGAUUUUAGCUAUUUUAGAGAGAGAAACAGAAAAACCAGUGAAGAAUUACAUACAGUUUCCUGUCAUAGAAUAGAAGAUACACAGAGAAAUAUUUCUCAUAGAUGUCUUGGAUCAGCUCUUCAUUAUGUUUCUCUCCCAUCUCUUCAUAGACACAACUUUCCGCAAGAUUUUCAGAAGGUCUCCACUGGUUAACAUUUCUUCUUCUCUCACCAUGCCCACAAUUCGCUAUAGUCUCCUCUGUACAUUUCAUUUUCCUGAUGACCCAUCAUGUCUUCUCUUGCAUAAAAUCUUUUCCAGACGAACCCACAUACCACUUUCCUCCACUAAAUCUGUUAUUCCAUUCUCUCACUUUGGAUCUUUCCCUCGAGAAAUGUCGAUAAUUCAUGUAAACUGGUGCUUGGGGUCCUUUGGUUGAUCCUAUCGAUCAGUUAUCUAGCAUUUCUUAUCAUCCUCUUGCAUGAGAAGAGGUUUGAUUCGACAGUUCAUCCAUUGUCAAUUUGAAUUUGGUGGUUCUUGAGCUUUCUGCUUGCCGUUUUCCUCUCUAUCUCAGCAGUCAACAGAUUAGUCCUCCAUAGCCCAAACCAUAAUCGAGAGCUAUGGGGUGGAGACAUAUUAACACUUGUAUCCCUACUUGUUAAUACUUUUCUCUGUCCCAUUGCCAUUAAAGGAUCCACGGUCUAAUUCUUGUGGAAAGAUUGAAAGAAGCAGAGAGAGAGAGAUGAAACUGAGAGAGCCUCUUUUAUCAGAAGCUGACAUCAUUGAUAAAAGGAUUAGUACCACAUUUACUCCUUAUAACUCAGCUGGGUUUCUCUCUAGAGCUACGUGGACAUGGAUGAAUGGAUUGUUAAAGGAGGGCUAUGAAUCUCCAUUCAAAUUUGAAGAUGUGCCUGGUCUUGCAUCAUCAGAUUCUGCAGAAUCCAUGUACAAGCGCUUCGAAUCGAACUUGCCCAAAAAUGACUCUGAAAACCAGUGAGGGUGAGGGUGAGGGUGAGGGUGAGUGGGAGCACUGCAUAUGGAGCGCAAAGUGCAUGGAUAAAAAAUGGGACCAUGGAAGGGAACAUACUAUUUGGUCAGCCGAUGGAUGGUGAGAGGUAGAAGGAGGUGAUUAGGGUUUGUUGCCUGGACACAGACUUGGAGAUGCUGGAAUUUGGAGAUACGACUGAGAUUGGUGAACGCGGGAUCAAUCUGGGUGGAGGCCAAAAGCAAAGAAUUCAGCUGUAUACCAGGACUCGGACAUCUAUCUCCUUGAUGACAUCUUUAGUGCUUUUGAUGCUCACACUGGUUCACAAAUCUUCAUGUGGUUGAUAAUGGCGAAAACUGGCGUGUGGGUCCGUGGGAGCUUCUUUGCUUAGGGCGAGUCAUGCUCAAGAAAAACCGCAUUUUAUUCCUCGAUGAGGCAACGGCCUCUGUUGACACACACGGAUGGGAUCAUCCAAAGGAUCAUUAGAGAAGAUUUUGCAGAAUGUACCAUCACCAUCAUCAGCAUCGACUGUGGGUUUUUACAGUUUUAAUGGAGGAACGUGGCAUGUUGGUUCUUUUUGAAAAUAUUUUUAUGCAUGAGAAGACAAGAUGGAUCACCAGGAAAAUGAGAUGUACGGAGGAGACUAGAGCGAAUUGUGGGCAUGGUGAGAGAACAAGAAAUCUUAACCAGUGGAGAGCUUCUGAAGAUCCUGUGAAAAGUGGUGGCUCUGAAGAGAAGGGAGAGACAUAAUGAAAAGCUGAUCCAAAACAUCUAUGAGAUAUAUUUCUCUAUGUAUCUACUAGUCUAUGACAUGAAACUGUAUGAAUUCUUCACUGGUUUCUCUGUU
This is a long non-coding RNA of Amborella trichopoda, 1870 nucleotides long. RefSeq lists it as uncharacterized. Lineage: Eukaryota; Viridiplantae; Streptophyta; Magnoliopsida; Amborellales; Amborellaceae. The record is from RefSeq and is a predicted model, not a curated record.